UCGGGGUAUUCCACAAAAAAUUACCCUGCGGGAUGAAAUAUUCCUCGGGCAUCGCCCUCGGAAUAUUUCAUCCCUCAGGGUAAUUUUUUGUGGAAUACCCCU
This 102-nucleotide microRNA precursor is filed under the name Paramuricea clavata. The record is from RNAcentral. Lineage: Eukaryota; Metazoa; Cnidaria; Anthozoa; Malacalcyonacea; Plexauridae.